GAUUUAGUGAUUAGAAUUUAGAGUUUAGUAUUUGAAAGGUGAGGGUUGAGUUUUGGGUUUAGUGAUAACAAUUUAGGGUUUAGUAUUUAAAAGUUGGGUCCGGGUCAGUCCUUCUAUACUAGUUAUAACGGUGCCAUACUAUGUCUUGUAGGUUGAGAAAAUUGCAUAUUAUAUAAAUUCUGUUUUGAGUUUAUAGUUCAGUUAUUUGGGUUUAAAUUUAGUAAUUAGAGGGUUUGUCUAGGGUUUAAUAUUUAAGUGGGUGGGUAGGGUUUAAUAUGUAUGUUCCAUACUAUGGUUGAUAAAUUUUGAAUAUGUUGUAAAACAGUUAUAGAUUAUAUUUGGUUUAUAGUUUAUUGAUUUGGGUAUAUAUUUACCAAUUAGGAGUUUGGGUGUAGUAUUUAGCGGUUGUAGGAUGGUUUAAUAUGUAAAAGUAAGAGGCUAGGUUGAGGUCCUGUACUACUUCACCAAUAUGGAAUAGAACACUCGUAACUUUUCAAACCAAGAAUGUGCAUUCAUGGUUGCUUCCAGGAUAACUUAGUAAUUAAGGGUUUGUCUUGGCACGUAGUAUACGUAAGCGGAUGUGCAAGGUUUAAUAUUUGCGGUCCAUACUAUCAAUGAUACAUUAAAAAUAAUAU
This 635-nucleotide long non-coding RNA is filed under the name Brassica napus (rape). RNAcentral describes it as "long non-coding RNA (BNAP_LNC005284)". Lineage: Eukaryota; Viridiplantae; Streptophyta; Magnoliopsida; Brassicales; Brassicaceae. The record is from RNAcentral.